RNAcentral lists this transfer RNA (77 nucleotides) under bacterium. Its description in RNAcentral is "tRNA-Pro". It matches the Rfam family "tRNA". Rfam says of the family: Transfer RNA (tRNA) molecules are approximately 80 nucleotides in length. Their secondary structure includes four short double-helical elements and three loops (D, anti-codon, and T loops). The record is from RNAcentral. RNAcentral also lists the same sequence under 1 other name.
CGGGGCGUAGCGCAGCCUGGUAGCGCACUUGACUGGGGGUCAAGUGGUCGCUGGUUCGAAUCCAGUCGCCCCGACCA